GCAGCAGCAGCAGCAGCGGCAGCGGCAGCGGCUUUCGUCUUUCUCUUCCACCCUCUUCGUGCCUGCAAUGUUCGCGCGCUCGCCGAGCUUACGCUCGUGCUGCUGCUGCUGCCGCUGCUGCUGCUGCUGC
This 130-nucleotide small RNA is filed under the name Drosophila guanche. The record is from RNAcentral. Lineage: Eukaryota; Metazoa; Arthropoda; Insecta; Diptera; Drosophilidae.